UAUAUAUAUAUUUUUUUUUUUUUUUUUACAUUAGAAACAUUUUGAAAGACUUGAAAGACAAAAUCGAUAUAUUAAGUUGCAAAUAUAUCUUAAAAAAAUUGAAACAAAAAAAAGUAGAAGAACAGGAACUGAUGUUUAAAUGCUAUAAUGCUAUAAAAAUUCAAAAAACUUUUCGUGGAUACUAUUCAAGGAAAUAUGUCCACGAUUUUUAUAAGAGGAAAAAGGAAAUUAUCGAAUUAGAUAAUUACGUGAAAAUGCAACAAAGCGAGUUUUCAAAAGAAAUAGAGAAAAGAAAAAAGCAGCAAAUGUUGUAUGAUCAAGAGUUAAGGGAGCAAAAAAUUUAUAACGUAGCUAAGAAUUUGCACCACGUGGUAUCAACAAAAGCACAAAAAGGAGUUUAUAAUCCAAAAAUUGAAAAUAUAAUAAAAAAACAGCAAGAAAAGCAUAAAAUUAAAAAAAAAAAAGUAAUCAUGCCUGUAAGUAAAUGAAUGCAAGAAAAAAAAGGAAACGGAAAAAAAAAAAAAAAGACAACGAAAAAAAAAAACAAAAAAAAGUGCGAGAUAAAAUUAAAAAAGCAAAAAAAGAAAUAAAAUUAAAGUUAUCAAUGUUUCA
This 612-nucleotide long non-coding RNA is filed under the name Piliocolobus tephrosceles (Ugandan red Colobus). RNAcentral describes it as "lncRNA (ENSPTEG00000015505.1)". Lineage: Eukaryota; Metazoa; Chordata; Mammalia; Primates; Cercopithecidae. The record is from RNAcentral.